This is a long non-coding RNA of Oncorhynchus tshawytscha (Chinook salmon), 543 nucleotides long. The record is from Ensembl. Lineage: Eukaryota; Metazoa; Chordata; Actinopteri; Salmoniformes; Salmonidae.
GUGUAUCCCUGGAAAUAAUCAGAAUUUGUUUAAACAUAAGCUUUAAAAACAUUGAUUGUCCCCCAAAAAACUGUGCUCUCUUGGCACAACUUGAGGUAAGUUGAGUGUAGGGACAGGGUAAGUUGAGCGUAGGGACAGGGUAAGUUGAGUGUAGGGACAGGGUAAGUUGAGUGUAGGGACAGGAUAAGUUGAGUGUAGGGACAGGGUAAGUUGAGUGUAGGGACAGGGUAAGUUGAGUGUAGGGACAGGGUAAGUUGAGUGUAGGGACAGGGUAAGUUGAGUGUAGGGACAGGGUAGGUUGAGUGUAGGGACAGGGUAAGUUGAGUGUAGGGACAGGGUAAGUUGAGUGUAGGGACAGGGUAAGUUGAGUGUAGGGACAGGGUAGGUUGAGUGUAGGGACAGGGUAAGUUGAGUGUAGGGACAGGGUAAGUUGAGUGUAGGGACAGGGUAAGUUGAGUGUAGGGACAGGGUAAGUUGAGCGUAGGGACAGGGUAAGUUGAGUGUAGGGACAGGGUAAGUUGAGCCGCCUUGAGGUAAGUUGAG